UCGUAACAAGGUUUCCGUAGGUGAGCCUGCGGAAGGAUCAUU
This 42-nucleotide ribosomal RNA is filed under the name Campeiostachys nutans. RNAcentral's name for it is "Elymus nutans partial small subunit ribosomal RNA". The record is from RNAcentral. Lineage: Eukaryota; Viridiplantae; Streptophyta; Magnoliopsida; Poales; Poaceae.